AAUUUUAUAGUUUAAAAAAAAUAAUGAUUUUGUAAAUCAUAGAUAUUUGUAUAAAAAUU
RNAcentral lists this transfer RNA (59 nucleotides) under Epeurysa nawaii. RNAcentral describes it as "tRNA-Thr". Lineage: Eukaryota; Metazoa; Arthropoda; Insecta; Hemiptera; Delphacidae. The record is from RNAcentral.